UAUAUUAGUCAAUGGAGGCAACUCUGACCGAGCCAUGCCGCGUGCAGGAUGACGGUCCUGUGGAUAGAAAACUGCUUUUGUAGAGGAAGAAAAAGAGCUACGAGUCGCUUAUUGACGGAACUGUAAGAAUAAGGAACGGCCAACUCAGUGCCAGCAGCCGCGGUAAUACGGAGGGUCCAAGCGUUAAUCGGAAUUAUUGGGUUUAAAGGGUCCGUAGGUGGCUUUUUAAGUCAAAUGUGAAAGUUUUUGGCUUAACCUAAAAAUUGCAGUUGAUACUGGUGGGCUUGAAUUUUUGAGAAGAAACUAGAAUAUGUAGUGUAGCGGUGAAAUGCUUAGAUAUUACAUGGAAUACCAAUUGCGAAGGCAGGUUACUAACAAACGAUUGACGCUGAUGGACGAAAGCGUGGGUAGCGAACA
This 417-nucleotide ribosomal RNA is filed under the name uncultured bacterium. RNAcentral's name for it is "partial 16S ribosomal RNA". It matches the Rfam family "Bacterial small subunit ribosomal RNA", at positions 359 to 774 of the family's 1533-position model. The record is from RNAcentral.